GUACAGGGUUUGGUUCUGGGCAGAAAAUCCAUGAUCCUGAGACUGCAGGAGGCUUUUCACAAAGUCCUGUGUCACUCUUAGGAGAAGACUGAGUCAGGGAAAAGGUGAACCCUGCAGACUGUACUAGAAGACAACGCGGGAGCACAGAGGAGACCAGGACCCAAUUCCCAGGCUGUGUGACCUUGGACACGUUACAGCUCCUCUCUGCAUUUCAGGGUUUUGUUUUGUUUUGUUUUUUGAUUUUUGGUUUUUUUUGUUUGUUUUUUUCUCGCUCUUUCACCCAGGAUGAAGUGCAGUGGCAUGAUCUCGACUCACUGCAACCUCUACCUCCUGGGUUCAAGUGAUUCUCCUGCUUCAGCCUCCCCAGUAGCUGGGACUACAGGCACGCACGAGGAUGCCAGGCCAAUUUUUGUAUUUUUAGUAGAGACGGGGUUUCACCAUGUUGGCCAGGCUGGUCUUGAACUCCUGACCUCAGGUGAUCCACCCCCUUCAGCCUCCCAAAGUGCUGGGAUUACAGGCGUGAGCCACUGUGCCUGGCUGCAUUUCAGUUUAUUUUUCACUAAAACUGGUCAACCAUCCACCUCACUGCACUACCGUGGAAUGACUUAAACUUUGCGAGAGCAUUUGGGCCCACAGUCACCGCUGGCUGAAGCAGAUGGGAUGCCUGGUCCAAGGUCACGAUUAUUAAAGUAGACACACGGGGCACUUUGACCCACCUGUAGUACAUUUCUUUCACAGCAAGGCAGUGCAACCGGUAGCACAUCGGGCUCUUUUAGAUGCUGCUCCAGCCUUGGUCCGGUGGAUCAUGCUUGGUUUAGAAGCUGGGUUGUCUUUUUCCUGCCCCCAGUCCUGUCUUUGCUUUUAUAGUGCGUCAUACACCACGUAGAACCGAGCCAGGUUCCUGCCAUGUGGACGCUGUUCCUGCCUGAGAGUCUCUUAGAGGAAGGCUGGGAACACUGUGUGGAAAGACUGGGCAUCUCUGCAGGCAGAGCUGAAUGGAUGUGAAACCCCUGUGGGCAUGUGCUUCCGAGUUCCUCAGCAGGCAUUUGUGUUUUUUGGUAGAAAGUUUGCCUUUUUUUUUUUUUUUUUUUUAAGACAAGGUCUCAUUCUGUCACCCAGGCUAGAGUACAGUGGUGUGAUCAUAGCUCACUGCCGUCCUUGAACUCUCAGACUCACGUGAGCCUCCUACCUCAGCCUCCUGAGUAGCUGAGACUACAGGCGCAUGCCGCCACCCCUGGCUAAUAUUUUUAUUUUUUGCAGAGACAGGGGUCUCACUACAUUGCCCAGGCUGGUCUCAAACUCCUGGCCUCAAGCAAUCCUCUCACAGCCUCCCAAAGUGCUGGUAUUACAGGUGUGAGCCACCACACCUAACAAAAGUUUGCUUUUUAUCUAAAAUGACCCAGGCAUUGUCACUGUACUGCUAUUUUUUUUUUUUAAUGUUGUUGUUUUGUUGUUGUUGUCGUCGUUAUAUAGAUGAGGGCUUCCUGUGUUGCCCAGGCUGGUUUCUGACGCCUGGCCUCGCCUCCUUAUACACCAGGACAGCAGGACUGAGCCACCACACUACCCAACUGCUUUUAUCUCAGUGAAUGAAAAUGACACUUGCCUGGAGGCUUCCCCUCAUCUACCCCCAUGUUUCUCUAUUUAUUCCUCAGUUAAGUGGGCAGACCAACAUCCACCUCAGCAAAAACUUCUUCCUGACGAAUCGCGCCAGGGAGCGCUCAGACACCUUCAUCAACCUCCGGGAGGUGCUCAACCGCUUCAAGCUGCCGCCAGGAGAGUACAUUCUCGUGCCUUCCACCUUCGAACCCAACAAGGAUGGGGAUUUCUGCAUCCGGGUCUUUUCUGAAAAGAAAGCUGACUACCAAGCUGUCGAUGAUGAAAUCGAGGCCAAUCUUGAAGAGUUCGACAUCAGCGAGGAUGACAUUGAUGAUGGAUUCAGGAGACUGUUUGCCCAGUUGGCAGGAGAGGAUGCGGAGAUCUCUGCCUUUGAGCUGCAGACCAUCCUGAGAAGGGUUCUAGCAAAGCGCCAAGAUAUCAAGUCAGAUGGCUUCAGCAUCGAGACAUGCAAAAUUAUGGUUGACAUGCUAGAUUCGGACGGGAGUGGCAAGCUGGGGCUGAAGGAGUUCUACAUUCUCUGGACGAAGAUUCAAAAAUACCAAGUAAGAUCCCAGAGAUGCGGGUGGAUCUGUGUUGGGGAACAUUCUGUUCAUAUGCUUUAAGAUGCAGCAACUCCUGCACAGAGUGGAGAAACAUUUCCAAGGGGAUUGGGAUUUUACCCAUAAUGAAGCUCAGAGUGAGUAAAGAUGGGGCUGAGGAAAUGCAAACAAAAAACCAACCAGGACUUUGCAGGUGAAAUGGCCUAUUCCCUUCCUCCUGAUUAUUGGGAUCAUCUAAAGGCCACCAUCAAGGGUUUCCUGAAAAGGGUUUUUGACAGCUAAAGUACAAAAAUUAUAUAAGACAAGAACAUGGACCUAUGGGCGUUGGCUGGCUGAUUUGAUGGGCGUAUUUACAAACCAGCUCACAGACAGAAGCAAAAUACUAUUAGUUAUUUAAGGCAGAAACAUAAGUGAUUCUUCCAAGGCCAAACUAGAGGCACAGAGCUGGAAAAACUUCAUCCCCACUCAGCACAUACUAGGGAGGUAACUUGCCAGCUUUGCUUUGGGUCAUAGUUCUUACAGCUAACUUAUGUGUUCCAGAAAAUUUACCGAGAAAUCGACGUUGACAGGUCUGGUACCAUGAAUUCCUAUGAAAUGCGGAAGGCGUUAGAAGAAGCAGGUUUCAAGAUGCCCUGUCAACUCCACCAAGUCAUCGUUGCUCGGUUUGCAGAUGACCAGCUCAUCAUCGAUUUUGAUAAUUUUGUUCGGUGUUUGGUUCGGCUGGAAACGCUAUUCAAGAUAUUUAAGCAGCUGGAUCCCGAGAAUACUGGAACAAUAGAGCUCGACCUUAUCUCUUGGCUCUGUUUCUCAGUACUUUGAAGUUAUAACUAAUCUGCCUGAAGACUUCUCAUGAUGGAAAAUCAGCCAAGGACUAAGCUUCCAUAGAAAAACACUUUGUAUCUGGACCUCAAAAUUAUGGGAACAUUUACUUAAACGGAUGAUCAUAGCUGAAAAUAAUGAUACUGUCAAUUUGAGAUAGCAGAAGUUUCACACAUCAAAGUAAAAGAUUUGCAUAUCAUUAUACUAAAUGCAAAUGAGUCGCUUAACCCUUGACAAGGUCAAAGAAAGCUUUAAAUCUGUAAAUAGUAUACACUUUUUACUUUUACACACUUUCCUGUUCAUAGCAAUAUUAAAUCAGGAAAAAAAAAUGCAGGGAGGUAUUUAACAGCUGAGCAAAAACACUGAGUCACUCUCAAAGGACACGAGGCCCUUGGCAGGGAAUAUUUAAAGCAACUUCAAGUUUAAAACACAGCUGUUGAUUCUACCAAACAACAGUCCAAGAUUACCAUUUCCCAUGAGCCAACUGGGAAACAUGGUAUAUCAUGAAGUAAUCUUGUCAAGGCAUCUGGAGAGUCCAGGAGAGAAGACUCACCUCUGUCGCUUGGGUUAAACAAGAGACAGGUUUUGUAGAAUACUGAUUGGUAAUAGUAAAUCGUUCUCCUUACAAUCAAGUUCUUGACCCUAUUCUGCCUUAUACAUCUGGUCUUACAAAGACCAAAGGGAUCCUGCGCUUGAUCAACUGAACCAGUAUGCCAAAACCAGGCAUCCAAUUUGUAAACCAAUUAUGAUUAAGGACAAAAUAAGCUGUUUGCCACCUCAAAACUUUAUGAACUUCACCACCACUAGUGUCUGUCCAUGGAGUUAGAGGGGACAUCACUUAGAAGUUCUUAUAGAAAGGACACAAGUUUGUUUCCUGGCUUUACCUUGGGAAAAUGCUAGCAACAUUAUAGAAAUUUUGCCUUGUUGCCUUAUCUUCUUCCAAAUGUACUGUUAAAUAAAAAUAAAGGGUUACCCCAUGCAAUCACACCAUGCCAUGUUUUCCUUCCUGGAGGGCAGCCCCACAGGACGGUUUAUGAGCACACGAUUAUAGCUUGUUUCUACUUUAACAAGGUAUGCUGCCUCUGUAAAUUCAUGUAUUCAAAGGAAAAGACAUCUUGCCUAUAAUUAAAAUGUGGAACUAUAAAAUUUUUUAAAAUCCAA
RNAcentral lists this small RNA (4136 nucleotides) under Pan troglodytes (chimpanzee). Its description in RNAcentral is "processed transcript". The record is from RNAcentral. Lineage: Eukaryota; Metazoa; Chordata; Mammalia; Primates; Hominidae.